GAUAGAACGUAGCGAAAUGCGAUACGUAGUGUGAAUUGCAGAAUUCCGUGAACCAUCAAAUCUUUGAACGCAUAUUGCGCUCGAGGCUUCGGCCGAGAGCAUGUCUGCCUCAGCGUCGGUAUUACCCCUCGCUUCUCAACCCCUGGUUGAUGCCUGCCUGCCUUUGCAGUUGGCUAGAAGCGGAUCUGGCUUUCCCAAUUGCCUUUGGUAGUUGGGUCAGCUGAAGCACAGAGGCUUGAGCAAGGACCCUUAUUGGGCUUCAACUGGAUAGGUAGAACUGGUCUUAGGACCAACUACACGAAGUUGUUGCUUGUGGUCUUUUGUCUGGAGGCCAGCAGGAAACCUUUAUACCUUCGACCUGAGCUCAGGCAAGAUUACCCGCUGAACUUAAGCAUAUCAAUAAGCGGAGGA
This 411-nucleotide unclassified non-coding RNA is filed under the name soil metagenome. RNAcentral's name for it is "partial contains 5.8S ribosomal RNA, internal transcribed spacer 2, and large subunit ribosomal RNA". The stretch from base 4 to 118 matches the Rfam family "5.8S ribosomal RNA", at positions 40 to 154 of the family's 154-position model. The record is from RNAcentral.